GCUUGGGACUCUGAAAGAGGCGAAAGGAAUCAACAAAACCAGUCAGUUCUGGUUCUGGCCCUGCAUAUCGUGUCUGCCCCAAAGCCGGCCCGGCGGCCGUUUUCGAUGAAGACACAACGAAAACAGUCUUAUCUUUCCCUGCUGUUCCCGAGCUGGUCCCGGACGCACUUCAGCCGACACCGUCCCUGCUGAGGACCCGGUGUCCCCCUGAAGACGGCCCCUCGGAUUCUGUGUCCCCCUGAAGACGGCCCCUCGGAUUCUGUGUCCCCCUGAAGACGGCCCCUCGGAUUCUGUGUCCCCCUGAAGACGGCCCCUCGGAUCCUGUGACCCCCUGAAGACGGCCCCUCGGAUUCUGUGUCCCCCUGAAGACGGCCCCUCGGAUCCUGUGUCCCCCUGAAGCCGGCCCCUCGGAUUCUGUGUCCCCCUGAAGACGGCCCCUUGGAUUCUGUGUCCCCCCGAAGCCGGCCCCUCGGAUUCUGUGUCCCCCUGAAGACGGCCUCUUGGAUUCUGUGUCCCCCUUAAU
Long non-coding RNA from Cololabis saira (Pacific saury), 523 nucleotides. RefSeq lists it as uncharacterized. The transcript has 3 exons. The record is from RefSeq and is a predicted model, not a curated record. Lineage: Eukaryota; Metazoa; Chordata; Actinopteri; Beloniformes; Belonidae.